This 507-nucleotide ribosomal RNA is filed under the name uncultured bacterium. RNAcentral's name for it is "partial 16S ribosomal RNA". The record is from RNAcentral.
GGAGUUAGCCGGUGCUUCUUCUGUGAGUGAUGUCCUUCCUGCCGGCUAUUAACCCGCAGGCCUUCUUCCUCACUGAAAGUGCUUUACAACCCGAAGGCCUUCUUCACACACGCGGCAUGGCUGGAUCAGGGUUGCCCCCAUUGUCCAAUAUUCCCCACUGCUGCCUCCCGUAGGAGUCUGGGCCGUGUCUCAGUCCCAGUGUGGCUGAUCAUCCUCUCAGACCAGCUACGGAUCGUCGCCUUGGUGAGCCGUUACCUCACCAACCAGCUAAUCCGACAUAGGCUCAUCCGAUAGCGCGAGGCCCGAAGGUCCCCCGNUUUCCCCCGUAGGGCGUAUGCGGUAUUAGCCUGGGUUUCCCCAGGUUAUCCCCCGACUACCGGGCAGAUUCCUAUGCAUUACUCACCCGUCCGCCGCUCGCCACCAGGGAGCAAGCUCCCCGUGCUGCCGCUCGACUUGCAUGNGUUAGGCCUGCCGCCACGCGUCAUCUGAGCAUGAUACAACUACUGA